UACUUAAGGUAGCGACGGAUAGCAACCACGUGAUCAGUAAAAAUUGUGUAUUUUCACGUGAAUUCAUUUUCCGGAAUUCCUUACUCCGUCAUAGAAUAGUCGAAAAACAAAAAGGGGUUCCGAAAGUGUUUUGUUGCUGUGACUGACUCGCCUACAGAAAAUAUGCACAUACCACAUAAGUAUACGUCAAUGGCUGUAAUAAUGGUAGAUCAAAUGUUUCAUCUGUGUGAAACUUUUUGCUAAUCGAAAUGUUAAACCAACCACCAAUCCAUGUACAUAUAUGCGCUACGUAAACAAAGUUGUUGAUUGAUGCAUCGUAAUGUCCGAGUGCUGCAUGCUGAGAGAUUAAAUACUGUUUAUACAGUCAUUGAGAGGCUAAACAAAGUUUCUUGCAAGAAGAGGAAGUUGGUGGAUGCAUUCAACUUGGACAACGAAAUCAUAGUUUCGUUUGGCAUCAGCCUGAGGACCAAUGGAGGUUAGAUAGGACCAGUGCAGGUUGAAGUGGACUUCGAGUCAACAAGUAUAACAGCAAGAGAGGUACUCCAUUUACAGUGAUGAUGACAUAUCCCCUGGACCCCCACAACUCCACAAAUUUAAAAAUGUUUGAUCAAGUUCCGAAGAUUAAAUAACUACUGCAAAAUUUGGGACUGGAUGAAAAACAUUAAUUCACUUAUAUGAGCUCAGAGCAGUGGAUGUUAUACAACAUACUUUAAACUAAAUUGUGAAUUUAAGGGAAAACAAGUACAUGUACUCGUAUAUUACAAGUACAUGCCUUUUAAAAGACAAUAAUAUUGCAUAGAUGUAAAGGAAAUUUCAAUGUUGAUUAUUCUUUCUUAGAUAUAUUAGUAAAAAAUGUGCACAUGCUAGAAUAUCAAUUUUAUAACUUCAA
Molecule: long non-coding RNA, 889 nt
Organism: Ostrea edulis (European flat oyster)
Lineage: Eukaryota; Metazoa; Mollusca; Bivalvia; Ostreida; Ostreidae
Exons: 3
Source: RefSeq, a predicted model, not a curated record